Molecule: ribosomal RNA, 931 nt
Filed under: Octonoba yesoensis
Lineage: Eukaryota; Metazoa; Arthropoda; Arachnida; Araneae; Uloboridae
Description: SSU rRNA
Rfam family: Eukaryotic small subunit ribosomal RNA
Source: RNAcentral
GUGNNAGAUAAGCCUGCAUGUCUAAGUACAUGCCGUAUUAAGGCGAAACCGCGAAUGGCUCAUUAAAUCAGUUAUGGUUCCUUGGAUCGUACCUUACUACUUGGAUAACUGUGGCAAUUCUAGAGCUAAUACAUGCAGCAGAGCUCCGACCUUCGGGGACGAGCGCUUUUAUUAGACCAAAACCAAUCGGACCUCGUGUCCGUUCCAUGUGGUGACUCUGUAUAACUUUGGGCUGAUCGCACGGGCCCGUCCCGGCGACGUAUCUUUCAAGUGUCUGCCUUAUCAACUGUCGAUGGUAGGUUACGCGCCUACCAUGGUCGUAACGGGUGACGGGGAAUCAGGGUUCGAUUCCGGAGAGGGAGCCUGAGAAACGGCUACCACAUCCAAGGAAGGCAGCAGGCGCGCAAAUUACCCACUCCCAGAACGGGGAGGUAGUGACGAAAAAUAACAAUACGGGACUCUUUUGAGACCCCGUAAUUGGAAUGAGUACACUCUAAAUCCUUUAACGAGGAUCCAUUGGAGGGCAAGUCUGGUGCCAGCAGCCGCGGUAACUCCAGCUCCAAUAGCGUAUAUUAAAGUUGUUGCGGUUAAAAAGCUCGUAGUUGGAUCUCAGUUCCAGACGGGCGGUCCGCCUACCGGUGGUUACUGCCUGUUCUGAACAGCCAGCCGGUUUCUCUUGAUGAUCUUCACCGGUUGUCUUGGGUGACCGGCAAGUUUACUUUGAAAAAAUUAGAGUGCUCAAAGCAGGCGCGACGCCUGAAUAAUGGUGCAUGGAAUAAUGGAAUAGGACCUCGGUUCUAUUUUGUUGGUUUUCGGAACACGAGGUAAUGAUUAAGAGGGACAGACGGGGGCAUCCGUAUUGCGACGCUAGAGGUGAAAUUCUUGGACCGUCGCAAGACGAACACUGCGAGAAUUUUUUUUCCAAGNANAA